This 482-nucleotide ribosomal RNA is filed under the name uncultured bacterium. RNAcentral describes it as "bacterial SSU rRNA". It matches the Rfam family "Bacterial small subunit ribosomal RNA", at positions 8 to 518 of the family's 1533-position model. The record is from RNAcentral.
AGGGUUCGAUUCUGGCUCAGGAUUAACGCUGGCGGCGUGCCUAAUACAUGCAAGUCGAAUGGUAGCAAUACCAUGGCGAACGGGUGAGUAACACGUAGGUAACCUGUCUUUAAGCCGAGGAUAACCAUUGGAAACGAUGGAUAAUACUGGAUAGGACAUUUGAAGGCAUCUUUAAAUGUUUAAAGAUUUAUCACUUAGAGAGGGGCCUGCGGCGCAUUAGCUAGUUGGUGAGGUGAAGGCUUACCAAGGCGAUGAUGCGUAGCCGGACUGAGAGGUUGAACGGCCACAAUGGAACUGAGAACGGUCCAUACUCCUACGGGAGGCAGCAGUAGGGAAUUUUCGGCAAUGGGCGGAAGCCUGACCGAGCAACGCCGCGUGAACGAAGAAGUAUUUCGGUAUGUAAAGUUCUUUUAUUAGGGACGAAAAGACAGAUUGACGGUACCUAAUGAAUAAGCUCCGGCUAACUACGUGCCAGCAGCCGC